This is an RNA transcript of Talpa occidentalis (Iberian mole), 1288 nucleotides long. RefSeq lists it as uncharacterized. The record is from RefSeq and is a predicted model, not a curated record. The transcript is spliced from 7 exons. Lineage: Eukaryota; Metazoa; Chordata; Mammalia; Eulipotyphla; Talpidae.
GGCGCAACUGGGGACGGAGCGUCUCCGCCUACCUGCCUGGUUCGUGGUGAUGUUGACCACGGCGGCCCGGCGGGGCUCGGGACUCAGGUCAGACACGCCGUUGACAGCCUCGAUCCAGAAGGAAUAGUUCAUGUGGGCCAGCAGGUUGGCGACCAGCAGGCUAGCCUGCACCAGGCUUGUCUGCUGCGGCACGAAGCGGGUGCCACCCCCACACUUCUCACAGUGGCCCAACGCCCAGGGGCAGCGGCGGCACACUGCGUUGUAGACUUUGUGCUGCCCAAAAUUCUCAUCCAGAGAAGGGGAGAGACUGCACUGCCUCAGCGCUCGUAGCAGAUUCUGAGGGCCUGGCGGCACUGCAUUGUGGGUUGGCAAGAAACCAGAGGCUGGACAGCGAGUGCAAGUGUCCGUGACCUAGAGCGGGGCUCGCUGAGCCUGAGGAGCCCACCGCCGGCAGCGUGUCCCUCAGCUACACCUCCGGCCCACGGGUCCACGUGGGGAAAACACAGGCAAGAGGAGGCAGCGGAGGAGCCGUGUCCGCAGAACACCACGCCAGUCACGCAGCCCUGCAGGCACAGAGAGCCCCUGGGAGUCCCCCAGGCGACCCCUUGGCUUGCCCACCCCAGUGCCCAGGACACUGGUAUCAUUGCUGGGUCAGAAGAUGACUGCAGCCCCCCAGCGCCGGAAAGGACAGGAGUCCAGCUUCCGGUCUCUGGAGCAGAGAGCGAAGACCAAGGAAGAGAAAGGCAGAAAAAAAUCCCUGGAGAGAUGGCAGGGCUUCCCGGUGGGCCCCAGGAGGACAGAGGCGCAGACUUCCAGCAACCUCCCAGCUCUUCUCUCGUUGGAAGAUGGAAGGAUGAAAGCACAGAGAGGGUCUGAGGCCGAGCCAAAGUUGCACAGUAAAUCAGGAGCAGAGGAGCUGGCACACACAGUAAUGAGGCCGCCAUCAUCUCCGGGAAGGAAAUAGAGGGCGACACAAGGGCGAAUAGCAGGAAGCACUACCUUCCCCACGAAGGAGGUGAUAAUUGGAUUGUGGCCCAAAGGACAAGAGCAAGUCAGCAUGCAGGGGCUGGGGCUGUUCUGGGUUGAGGGGCUCUCUAAAUGCACACCUGACAUUGUCACUGCCAGGUCUAAUUCCUUUACCCCCUCCUAGGCUCCGUGUGGCCUAAACAAUAAAGCCUGGCGUUCAGAGCCCCCCUCCCUCCCAGCUCUGCAGCCACCUUUGGUACCAUCUCUCAUUUCCCAUCCUCAGUGCCAACCAAAGGACUGACUAUUCCCAUCUGGCAGGCUA